GGAGGCUGUAGCUCAGGGGUGGAGUGCGUGCUUAGGGUGCACGAGGUCCUGGGUUCAAUCCCCAGCACCUCCA
RNAcentral lists this transfer RNA (73 nucleotides) under Vicugna pacos (alpaca). Its description in RNAcentral is "tRNA-Pro (AGG) (tRNA-Pro-AGG-4-1)". It matches the Rfam family "tRNA". From Rfam's summary of the family: Transfer RNA (tRNA) molecules are approximately 80 nucleotides in length. Their secondary structure includes four short double-helical elements and three loops (D, anti-codon, and T loops). Lineage: Eukaryota; Metazoa; Chordata; Mammalia; Artiodactyla; Camelidae. The record is from RNAcentral.